UCGAACGCGAAAGCUCCCUUCGGGGAGCAAGUAGAGUGGCGCACGGGUGAGUAACACGUAGGUAAUCUACCUUUGGAUGGGGAAUAACACCGAGAAAUCGGUGCUAAUACCGCAUAAUGCAGCGGCACCUAAUGGUGACAGUUGUUAAAGCGGGGGAUCGCAAGACCUCGCGUCUAAAGAGGAGCCUGCGGCGGAUUAGCUAGUUGGUAAGGUAACGGCUUACCAAGGCGAUGAUCCGUAACCGGCCUGAGAGGGCGGUCGGUCACACUGACACUGACAUACGGGUCAGACUCCUACGGGAGGCAGCAGUCGGGAAUUUUGGGCAAUGGGCGAAAGCCUGACCCAGCAACGCCGCGUGAAGGAUGAAAUCCCUCGGGAUGUAAACUUCGCAAGAACGGGAAGAAUAAGUUGGUGUGAAUAUCACCAGCGAUGACGGUACCGUUUGUAAGCUCCGGCUAACUCCGUGCCAGCAGCCGCGGUAAUACGGGGGGAGCAAGCGUUGUUCGGAUUUACUGGGCGUAAAGGGCGGGUAGGCGGCCACCGCAAGUCAGUUGUGAAAUCUCUGGGCUUAACCCAGAAAGGUCAACUGAUACUGCGGGGCUAGAGUGCAGAAGGGGCAACUGGAAUUCUCGGUGUAGCGGUGAAAUGCGUAGAUUUCGAGAGGAACACCUGCGGCGAAGGCGGGGUUGCUGGGCUGACACUGACGCUGAACUGCGAAAGCUAGGGGAGCGAACGGGAUAGAUACCCCGGUAGUCCUAGCCUUAAACGAUGAUGCUUGGUGUCUGGGGUUUUAUAGUCCCCGGGUGCCGUCGCUAACG
RNAcentral lists this ribosomal RNA (818 nucleotides) under uncultured bacterium. RNAcentral's name for it is "bacterial SSU rRNA". It matches the Rfam family "Bacterial small subunit ribosomal RNA", at positions 62 to 857 of the family's 1533-position model. The record is from RNAcentral.